RNAcentral lists this ribosomal RNA (468 nucleotides) under uncultured bacterium. RNAcentral describes it as "partial 16S ribosomal RNA". It matches the Rfam family "Bacterial small subunit ribosomal RNA", at positions 28 to 507 of the family's 1533-position model. The record is from RNAcentral.
GACGAACGCUGGCGGCGUGCUUAACACAUGCAAGUCGAACGGAAAGGCCCUGCUGUUGUGGGGUGCUCGAGUGGCGAACGGGUGAGUAACACGUGAGUAACCUGCCCUUGACUAUGGGAUAACUUCAGGAAACUGGGGCUAAUACCGGAUAGGAGCUCCUGCUGCAUGGUGGGGGUUGGAAAGUUUCGGCGGGUGGGGAUGGACUCGCGGCUUAUCAGCUAGUUGGUGGGGUAGUGGCUUACCAAGGCUUUGGCGGGUAGCCGGCAUGAGAGGGGGACCGGCCACAUUGGGACUGAGAUACGGCCCAGACUCCUACGGGAGGCAGCAGUGGGGAAUAUUGCACAAUGGGCGGAAGCCUGAUGCAGCAACGCCGCGUGCGGGAUGACGGCCUUCGGGUUGUAAACCGCUUUCGCCUGUGACGAAGCGUGAGUGACGGUAAUGGGUAAAGAAGCACCGGCUAACUACGUG